UUAACCAUUUCCAACUAUAGU
Molecule: non-coding RNA, 21 nt
Filed under: Caenorhabditis elegans
Lineage: Eukaryota; Metazoa; Nematoda; Chromadorea; Rhabditida; Rhabditidae
Source: RNAcentral